This is a non-coding RNA of Podarcis lilfordi (Lilford's wall lizard), 79 nucleotides long. Lineage: Eukaryota; Metazoa; Chordata; Lepidosauria; Squamata; Lacertidae. The record is from the annotation of a GenBank genome assembly.
UCUAAGUUGGCUCAGUCAGUAGGGCGUGAGACUCUUAAUCUCAGGAUUGUGGGAUCGAGCCCCACAUUGGAUGAAAGAU